Molecule: long non-coding RNA, 835 nt
Filed under: Ananas comosus (pineapple)
Lineage: Eukaryota; Viridiplantae; Streptophyta; Magnoliopsida; Poales; Bromeliaceae
Description: long non-coding RNA (ACOM_LNC021025)
Source: RNAcentral
AGGUAGGGGUGGAAACGAGCCGAGCUCGAGCGAGCUUAUCUCGGCUCAAAUUCGGCUUGAAAUUAAUUUCGAGCCUAAAUUUAAGCUCAAGCUUGGAUUGAAAUUAAUUCGAGCCGAGCUCGAGCGAGCCUAAUUUCGAGUCGAGCGAGCUCGAGCCCUAAACGAGCCGCAUGAAAUUCUCAACAUCAUACGAUCAAUAGUUUAAUUUGUAUAGGACAUUAUCUAUAAUUUGAUAUAAAAAUAUGUCUAAUAGUUCAAAGUACAAAAUAAUUAUAUAAAAUAUAGUAUUAUAAUAUGAAAAAAAAUAAUUUAUGAGUUAAAUAUCUAAUCUUUUCAGCCUCACAUGUCUUUUCUUCCGCCUUCAAUCUCCAUAUUAUUCAUUUUUAUUUAUGCAGUAAAAAAUAAAUAAAUUAUAUAGAUAAAUAUUGGAUUAAACUAUCCAAUCAUAUAUAACUAAAAUUAAAAUUUUAUAUAAAUAAUAAUUUUUUACUUUAAAAAUAUUCUGUAUAUUUUCUCAAGUAUACAAUUAAUAGUAAGGUAGGCAACGGCGGGCAUAUGCUGUUACUUGGUAACUUGGAGGGCUUCCGGCUUGGCCACUUAGGGUGAGAGACAUAAAAAGAGAAAGAGAGAAACAUAUUGAAAAUUUAAGCUCUGUAAAAGAAAGAAAGAAAGGAAAAAUGUAUAAAUUUAGUAAAAUUUUGCUCUUUUAUUUGUCUAUUGGGUUUGUUUUUAUGGACCAACAAUAUUAGCCCAAUUUUAACUAAACUCAGAUUAUUCACUCAGCCUAUAUAUAAUUAAAAUAUAUUAUAUUUAUAUAUUUCUUAAUAUAUAUAUA